This 465-nucleotide ribosomal RNA is filed under the name uncultured bacterium. Its description in RNAcentral is "partial 16S ribosomal RNA". It matches the Rfam family "Bacterial small subunit ribosomal RNA", at positions 338 to 795 of the family's 1533-position model. The record is from RNAcentral.
CCUACGGGUGGCAGCAGUGGGGAAUAUUGCGCAAUGGGCGAAAGCCUGACGCAGCGACGCCGCGUGAAGGAUGAAGGUCUUCUGAUCGUAAACCUCUGUCAGCAGGGAAGAACGGUCACUGUGCUAAUCCGCAGUGAAUUGACGGUACCUGCAAAGAAAGCACCGGCUAACUCCGUGCCAGCAGCCGCGGUAAUACGGAGGUUGCGAGCGUUAAUCGGAAUUACUGGGCGUAAAGCGCUCGUAGGCGGGAUGUCAAGUCAAGGGUGAAACCCCCGCGCUCAACGUGGGAACUGCCUUUGAUACUGGCAAACUUGAGUGUGGUAGAGGAUAGCGGAAUUCCAGGUGUAGGAGUGAAAUGCGUAGAUAUCAGGAAGAACAUCGGUGGCGAAGGCGACUAACUGGAAUAUCACUGACGCUGAGGAGCGAAAGCGUGGGUAGCAAACAGGAUUAGAUACCCUUGUAGUC